CCUACGGGUGGCAGCAGUGGGGAAUAUUGCACAAUGGGGGAAACCCUGAUGCAGCGACGCCGCGUGAGUGAAGAAGUAUUUCGGUAUGUAAAGCUCUAUCAGCAGGGAAGAAAAAAGACGGUACCUGACUAAGAAGCCCCGGCUAACUACGUGCAAGCAGCCGCGGUAAUACGUAGGGGGCAAGCGUUAUCCGGAUUUACUGGGUGUAAAGGGAGCGUAGACGGUAUGGCAAGUUUGAAGUGAAAGCCCAGGGAUUAACCCUGGGACUGCUUUGGAAACUGUUAGACUAGAGUGCUGGAGAGGUAAGUGGAAUGCCUAGUGUAGCGGUGAAAUGCGUAGAUAUUAGGAGGAACACCAGUGGCGAAGGCGGCUUACUGGACAGUAACUGACGUUGAGGCUCGAAAGCGUGGGGAGCAAACAGGAUUAGAUACCCUGGUAGUC
Molecule: ribosomal RNA, 441 nt
Filed under: uncultured bacterium
Lineage: Bacteria
Description: partial 16S ribosomal RNA
Rfam family: Bacterial small subunit ribosomal RNA
Source: RNAcentral